GAUGAACGCUAGCGGCAGGCUUAAUACAUGCAAGUCGAGGGGUAACAGGGUAGCAAUACCUGCUGACGACCGGCAAACGGGUGCGGAACACGUACGCAACCUUCCCAAAACUGGUGAAUAGCCCUCCGAAAGGAGGAUUAAUACACCGUAACAUAACGAGGUGGCAUCAUCUUGUUAUUAUAGCUCCGGCGGUUUUGGAUGGGCGUGCGCCUGAUUAGGUAGUUGGCGGGGUAACGGCCCACCAAGCCUACGAUCAGUAACUGGUGUGAGAGCACGACCAGUCACACGGGCACUGAGACACGGGCCCGACUCCUACGGGAGGCAGCAGUAAGGAAUAUUGGUCAAUGGACGAAAGUCUGAACCAGCCAUGCCGCGUGGAGGAUGAAGGUCCUCUGGAUUGUAAACUUCUUUUAUCUGGGACGAAAAAGGGAAUUCUUUCUCACUUGACGGUACCAGAAGAAUAAGCA
This 467-nucleotide ribosomal RNA is filed under the name uncultured bacterium. Its description in RNAcentral is "bacterial SSU rRNA". It matches the Rfam family "Bacterial small subunit ribosomal RNA", at positions 28 to 492 of the family's 1533-position model. The record is from RNAcentral.